GAAGUAAAGUCGUAACAAGGUUUCCGUAGGUGAACCUGCGGAAGGAUCAUUACAGUAGUCGCCCGGGUUGCCGCAAGGCCUCCCGGGCAACCUACCACCCUUUGUUUAUUACACUUUGUUGCUUUGGCAGGCCUGCCCUCGGGCUGCUGGCUCCGGCCGGCGAGCGUCUGCCAGAGGACCUAAACUCUGUUUGUCUAUACUGUCUGAGUACUAUAUAAUAGUUAAAACUUUCAACAACGGAUCUCUUGGUUCUGGCAUCGAUGAAGAACGCAGCGAAAUGCGAUAAGUAAUGUGAAUUGCAGAAUUCAGUGAAUCAUCGAAUCUUUGAACGCACAUUGCGCCCCCUGGUAUUCCGGGGGGCAUGCCUGUCCGAGCGUCAUUACAACCCUCAAGCUCAGCUUGGUGUUGGGCCCCGCCGCCCCGGCGGGCCCUAAAGUCAGUGGCGGUGCCGUCCGGCUCCGAGCGUAGUAAUUCUUCUCGCUCUGGAGGCCCGGUCGUGUGCUCGCCAGCAACCCCCAAUUUUUUUCAGGUUGACCUCGGAUCAGGUAGGGAUACCCGCUGAACUUAAGC
Molecule: ribosomal RNA, 570 nt
Filed under: Geomyces sp. 18VA12
Lineage: Eukaryota; Fungi; Ascomycota; Leotiomycetes; Thelebolales; Pseudeurotiaceae
Description: eukaryotic LSU rRNA
Rfam family: 5.8S ribosomal RNA (bases 226-379)
Source: RNAcentral